Molecule: ribosomal RNA, 398 nt
Filed under: uncultured eukaryote
Lineage: Eukaryota
Description: partial 18S ribosomal RNA
Rfam family: Eukaryotic small subunit ribosomal RNA
Source: RNAcentral
CAAUAGCGUAUAUUAAUGUUGUUGCAGUUAAAAAGCUCGUAGUUGGAUUUCUGGUGGGAGCGGUUGGUCUGCCCCGCGAGGGGUAGUUACUGAGCCGUAUCCGGCCCUUUUCGGGUUGACCGUGGCUGGCAUUAAUUUGUCGGUGCGGGAGGCCCGUCGUUUACUGUGAACAAAUUAGAGUGUUCAAAGCAGGGUGUUCUUGAAUACAUUAGCAUGGAAUAAUGAGAUAGGACUUUGGUGGUUCUCACUUUUAGUGGGAUAUUUUGUUGGUUUGCACGCCAAAGUAAUGAUUAAUAGGAGCAGUUGGGGGUAUUCGUAUUCAAUUGUCAGAGGUGAAAUUCUUGGAUCGCUGAAAGAUGAGCUUAGGCGAAAGCAUUUACCAUGGAUGUUUUCAUUAA